RNAcentral lists this ribosomal RNA (760 nucleotides) under Haemophilus influenzae. RNAcentral's name for it is "bacterial SSU rRNA". It matches the Rfam family "Bacterial small subunit ribosomal RNA", at positions 28 to 776 of the family's 1533-position model. Lineage: Bacteria; Pseudomonadati; Pseudomonadota; Gammaproteobacteria; Pasteurellales; Pasteurellaceae. The record is from RNAcentral.
AUUGGACGCUGGCGGCAGGCUUAACACAUGCAAGUCGAACGGUAGCAGGAGAAAGCUUGCUUUCUUGCUGACGAGUGGCGGACGGGUGAGUAAUGCUUGGGAAUCUGGCCUAUGGAGGGGGGAUAACGACGGGAAACUGUCGCUAAUACCGCGUAUUAUCGGAAGAUGAAAGUGCGGGACUGAGAGGCCGCAUGCCAUAGGAUGAGCCCAAGUGGGAUUAGGUAGUUGGUGGGGUAAAGGCCUACCAAGCCUGCGAUCUCUAGCUGGUCUGAGAGGAUGACCAGCCACACUGGAACUGAGACACGGUCCAGACUCCUACGGGAGGCAGCAGUGGGGAAUAUUGCGCAAUGGGGGGAACCCUGACGCAGCCAUGCCGCGUGAAUGAAGAAGGCCUUAGGGUUGUAAAGUUCUUUCGGUAUUGAGGAAGGUUGAUGUGUUAAUAGCACAUCAAAUUGACGUUAAAUACAGAAGAAGCACCGGCUAACUCCGUGCCAGCAGCCGCGGUAAUACGGAGGGUGCGAGCGUUAAUCGGAAUAACUGGGCGUAAAGGGCACGCAGGCGGUUAUUUAAGUGAGGUGUGAAAGCCCCGGGCUUAACCUGGGAAUUGCAUUUCAGACUGGGUAACUAGAGUACUUUAGGGAGGGGUAGAAUUCCACGUGUAGCGGUGAAAUGCGUAGAGAUGUGGAGGAAUACCGAAGGCGAAGGCAGCCCCUUGGGAAUGUACUGACGCUCAUGUGCGAAAGCAUGGGGAGCAAACAAG